Molecule: ribosomal RNA, 472 nt
Filed under: uncultured soil bacterium
Lineage: Bacteria
Description: bacterial SSU rRNA
Rfam family: Bacterial small subunit ribosomal RNA
Source: RNAcentral
AGGACGAACGCUGGCGGCGUGCUUAACACAUGCAAGUCGAGCGGUAAGGCCUUUCGGGGUACACGAGCGGCGAACGGGUGAGUAACACGUGGGUGAUCUGCCCUGCACUUCGGGAUAAGCCUGGGAAACUGGGUCUAAUACCGGAUAUGACCUCAGGUUGCAUGACUUGGGGUGGAAAGAUUUAUCGGUGCAGGAUGGGCCCGCGGCCUAUCAGCUUGUUGGUGGGGUAAUGGCCUACCAAGGCGACGACGGGUAGCCGACCUGAGAGGGUGACCGGCCACACUGGGACUGAGACACGGCCCAGACUCCUACGGGAGGCAGCAGUGGGGAAUAUGCACAAUGGGCGAAAGCCUGAUGCAGCGACGCCGCGUGAGGAUGACGGCUUCGGGUUGUAAACCUCUUUCAGCAGGACGAAGCGCAAGUGACGGUACCUGCAGAAGAAGCACCGCUAACUACGUGACCAGCAGCCGAC